RNAcentral lists this transfer RNA (38 nucleotides) under Iris tigridia. RNAcentral's name for it is "partial tRNA-Asp". Lineage: Eukaryota; Viridiplantae; Streptophyta; Magnoliopsida; Asparagales; Iridaceae. The record is from RNAcentral.
UAAGGCGGARGCUGCGGGUUCGAGCCCCGUCAGUCCCG